GCUUUAUCAUGAUACCUGCUUUAUUGAGGUGGUCUGGACCGGAACCUGCAAUAUCUCUGAGAUAUACCUGUAUCUGAAUAAUUCAUACUCUUUGUCUUCCUGAAGCCAUUCUCUAGAUUCGCCCCUGCAAUCUAGCUGCCCCUGUCACAGAGAACUGCCCAAACAAAGACAUCUGAGAUCACAGUGGAGCCGGACAACCAGAUAUUGAGCCAAAGCAGGAUUAUUUACCACAUUUCAGAGAUGAAAAACCAAUGCAUGGAGAGACAUGUCCAAAAACACAGCUAGGAGGUGGCAGAGAUGGGAUUCAAACCCAGGCAGCCUGGCUCCAUCAAUUCUGUGUUACCUCCCAUGUAGAAAUCACUAGAGCCACUUUUGAGUCAUCUAAUUUCUGAAAGCACAUCACUUUGCUGCCUUCUAAGUUGAGAGAGAGCACUUUUGAAAAAUCAACUUUACUGAGAAAUAAUUUACCUAUAAUAAAAUGCAUCCAUUUUAAGUGUAAAGUUUGGUGAGCUUUGGCAAAUGUAUACCACCCAAUCAAGAUGUAGAACAUUCCCCUGCCCCUGACUUGGCCAUCACUAAUCUACUUUCUGUUACUACAGAUUAGUUUUGCCCAUUCUAGAAUUUCAUAUACAUGAAAUCCUUAGUUAUAUACACCAUUGUGUCUAAGUCCAGCAUAAAGUUUUUGAGAUUUGUCCACAUUGAUGAAGAGAGAAUACUUUUUGAAUUAUGUGAUGCUAUCACUGGGAAUUUUAACUAAGCCUUUUUGUAUAGCAUUUGUACAAAACAGGUUUUUUUUUCCAUUCUCCCAUAGCUAUGUAUUAGUAUUCAGUUGGUCAGACAACCCACAGACCCCUUCUAUAAUGUUUUGACACAAAUCUUAACUGUUAUCCAUAAAUAUUUCAGUGUUUUUUUCUAAGAGUUUUUAAAAAACUAUAUAUAGAACUAUAGUACCAUUAUCAAACCUAAAAAAAAAUCAACACCAUAUUGCUAUUUAAAAUGACUGUUGAGAGGUUUGUUUACACGUAAUACUUAGGAUUGUGAGAAAUAAUUACUAAGUGUGUGGUCAAUUUCUUUGCUUCCCUGUUUACUGAUUCCGUCAUGGGACUACUUAUAAUCAUCCAAAAGUAGCUUGGCUGAGGUCAUUUCAGGGUAAUGUGUUUUCUCCAAAAAAGUGCUUUUUGGUUCACAACAAGUUUAGAGAGCAUCUUAUUACAGGAGGGAUUUUGUAAGGACCCAAAUGUAAGUAAACUCUUUUCUCAGAUGAUUUCAGAAUCAUUAAUUUAUUGGACUUGUGAGAAAGGAAUGAAGGGUGAUGGCUCCCCUGGGUUCCGGUUGAGGGACAGUGGAUGGGUUUCACCAUCCGGCUUGUAGUAGGUACUGAGCUCAGUUCUAGAGAUUUGAGCUUGAGUAGCCCAUGACACCCCCGCAAAGAUGUAGUUGGCAAUGUGUCUGGAAAGGGGUCUAGGCUGGAGCCUUCACGUUCAGGUGUGAAUGAAACCAGGCUGUGUGUGGAGUAACUGAGAAGCAACAGCCUGAUAGAGGUAGGAGCAAAACGAGAAGGUGGUGUUGUGGAAGCCAGAGAGAAGUGCUUUAAAGGGGGUGGUCACGUAUUGUAUAAUUUCACAUUAUGUGAGAUGUCCAGUAAAGAUAAUUAACAGAGAAAGUAGACUAAUGAAGGUUGGAGGUGGGGGGUAGCGAGGGAUCUUACUGGGUGGAUAUUCAAAAACUAACUUACAGUGAUGUCUGCACCACUCAUUUGAAAUAGGUGUAUCUGGUGUAUUUAUGAUACGUAAAAUAUACUUCAAGCAGUUUAAAAAAUAGUAGUCAACUGCCCAUUUACUGGUUUGGUCCUUCAUUCAUUGGUGAAUGUGGUCAGAUGGAGAGGGGAAUUGGGGGCAAGACGGAGCAGAAGCUAGUUGCAGUGGGUGGGGAAUGACAGGGUUGUGUCCAUGACUCAUUCCAGGUGCUUGUUUGUGAAAUGGAGAGGGAGGGGGUGGUGGCUGGAAAGGGCUAGGAGUUGUGGUUUAUUUUUUCAUGUUUUAAAUGUGUAAGAGGCCUCAGGUAGAUUUGGCAGGGAGAACGGACAGGACCUGCUGACCAGAUGAGGGGGUAAGAGGGAGAGUAGCCAAGGAAGCACCAAGCUGUCUGGCACGGGAAGCACAGCACGUAAACGCAAUCUCCCUUUGCCCGCAGCCGGACUCAAGCAUCACAGAAAGGCCUGACAGGAGGAAGUUGUUAUAAAAAAAACAUAGCUGGGAGGAGGGAACCAAUCAGUGGGUAAACAGGCAAAGGAGGCAGUCUCCUGACUCCAUGGUCAAGCAUCCUUCAGGGCCCUUCACAUCUGGCCUUCCCCUACCUGUUCAGCCUCUUCCCUCAUGCCCAGUAGCCAGGCCAGCUUCCCAUUCUCUGACUUCCUCUUUGAGUCCUGUUGCCACCAUUCAGGAUACUCUUCACAGUUGUUCUUAACCACCACCUAGUUGCCCUGCAUCUGCCCCCAGAAGACUGGAAAAGGUAGGCAAAAGUUCCUGCUCAUUAAUAAAAUCUUCUGCCUGCAAGGCCUCCUGUCCGAUUUCUGGUUGUGGACCAAAGUUUGUGUCCUAGUUGUGGCAGGUCCUGCUCAAAUCCCAAACCUGAGGUCCACUUUCUUAUCACCCACCCACCAGUCAUAAAGCUUAUCAGUUGGGCACUGAAAGAUCCUCUCUGUUGCUCUUCCUUACACUCAGUGGUCUAGCUACACCACCCAAUUUAAAAAUACCUGGCUGGAAAAAACAAACAAACCAAAAACCUGACUGCAAUCUCUAGCUCCAAAGCCAUGGUGGCUACUUAGCCUCCUUUAAUCCCUGGGGUGAAUGCUACUCCCCCUCCCCCCGCCACUGGCCAAUGAAAUGCAGGCUGCCAAAAAAGGAGCCCCGCCCUCCCCCAAUUAUCUGCAGUGGGCCCAGCCCCUGGGAGUUGAGAGACUAUCAAGGAGAUGGCUCUGCUCCCGAACAUACUUGCACUUGCUAGCAGGAGGGCAUACAGCUAAGUGACCAAUUCUGACCACUCUGGCCUUCCUGCUCCAUUGGACCCGGAGAUCUCAUCCUUCACCCUGAAUUCCAGACUUCACUGUAACUUAGGAUGAGGAAAGGAACAAUUUUUGUAGGGUCCCUGGUCAGCCUGGGUACCAGAGCACUGGGAAAUGGUCACAGAUCACUCUUUCUUUCAAUCAAUCAAUCAAUCAAUGCAGUGAGAAGUCUGCAUUCCACCAAGGAGAGGGCUUCUGGGAUCCAGUGCCCUAACUGGCUUAGUACCCUCAAUUCCUGCCCUCCUAUUAAGUCUAGCCACACAAGCAAACCCAAAGCUCCCUACUGCUUCUGGCCAGCACACAUGGAAAGUGCUCCCAAAAUCUGCCUCCCAAAUACACUUGCUCUAACCUUCUAAUACAGUCCCUGCACCCCAUCUGUUCUUGUAGACUUUCUGCACUCUCCCUCACUUCCUGGGCCUGCCUUCAUUCUAAGGGUGUGGAUUUUGACUCUCCUUUGACCUACACCCAUGGCAGCAGGACUCCUGGGGAGGGACCCACCCUUGCUGACCAGAGUAGCCAGGCCAGACCACUUCUGUACCAAGUCAGUCCCAACCCCAGAGUCCCACUCUGGCCUGGAGCCCUAGGUAACAAAGAGGCAGACACUUAGUUUCCGUUAGGUUGUAGGAAUUUAUUUUAAAUAACCUACAGUUGAUUAAAAGGGAAUUCAUGAUAAAAAUAGAAGAUACUUGAGGAGAGAUGUGGGAAAUGGACUCUGCACGCACACUAAACUAACAAUGCCUCUAAAACUAAUGAUUAUAGCAAAAAAUGUUUUCACAUUAAAAUUCUGCUUUUUAUGUGUUCUUUUUUUCCAUUUUUUU
Myotis davidii is the source of this 3882-nucleotide long non-coding RNA. RefSeq lists it as uncharacterized. The record is from RefSeq and is a predicted model, not a curated record. NCBI's taxonomy places the organism in Eukaryota, Metazoa, Chordata, Mammalia, Chiroptera, Vespertilionidae. The transcript is spliced from 3 exons.